This is an RNA transcript of Carlito syrichta (Philippine tarsier), 1062 nucleotides long. It is a transcript of the gene named tubulin beta chain-like, with no coding region annotated. The record is from RefSeq and is a predicted model, not a curated record. The transcript has a single exon. Lineage: Eukaryota; Metazoa; Chordata; Mammalia; Primates; Tarsiidae.
AUUAUAUGCAAGAUUCGAGAAGAGUAUCCUGACCACAUCAUGAACACCUUCAGUGUGGUACCCUCACCCAAAAUGUCAGACACUGUGGUUGAGCCCUACAACGCCACCCUCAGUCCAUCAGUUGGUAGAGAACACUGAUGAGACCUACUGCAUUGACAACGAGGCCCUCUAUGACAUCUGCUUCCACACCCUCAAGCUGACCACACCAACCUACGGGGCUCUAAACCACCUCGUCUCAGCCACCAUGAGUGGUGUCACCACCUGCCUUUGCUUCCCUGGCCAGCUCAAUGCUGACCUCCGCAAGCUGGCAGUCAACAUGGUACCCUUCCCAUGUCUCAACUUCUUCAUGCCUGGCUCUGCCCCUCUCACCAGUUGUGGAAGCCAGCAGUAUCCGGCUCUCACAGUACCUGAACUCACCCAGCAGGUCUUCGAUGCCAAGAACAUGAUGGCUGCCUGUGACCCCCACCAUGGCCGGUACCUCACCAUGGCUGCUGUGUUUCAUGGACGGAUGUCCAUGAAGGAGGUAGAUGAGCAGAUGCUCAAUGUGCAGAACAAGAAUAGCAGCUACUUUGUGGAAUGGAUCCCCAACAAUGUCAAGAUAUCCCGCUGUAUGCGAUAUCCCGCCUCAUGGCCUCAAGAUGGCAGUCACUUUCAUCGGCAGCAACACAGCCAUCCAGGAGCUCUUCAAGCGUAUCUCUGAGCAGUUCACUGCAAUGUUCCGCCGGAAGGCCUUCCUCCACUGGUACACAGGUGAGGGCAUGGACGAGAUGGAGUUCACUGAGGCUGAGAGCAACAUGAACGACCUCGUCUCUGAGUAUCAGCAGUACCAGGAUGCCACCGCAGAAGAAGAGGAAGAUUUCAGUGAGGAGGUGGAAGAGGAGGCCUAAGGCAGAGCCCCCAUCACCUCAGGCUUCUCAGUUCCCUUAGCCUUCUUCCUCAUCUGCCCCUUUCCUCUCCCUCAGAAUUUGUGUUUGCUGCCUCUUUUUUUUUCCCCUGGGGGAGAGAGGUCUAGAACAAUGCCUGGCCACAUAAUAGGCGCUCAAUAAAUAUUUGUUUGUUGAA